AGGGUAAAAAGAGGGAAAGAGAAAAACAAAGAGGGGAGAAAUCGGGCGAUUAUCGGCCCCUCGUCCAAAUAUUGUCGGAUCGAUGACGAUAUUUUAUUUGUUUUUAUUUGUAUUAUUU
RNAcentral lists this non-coding RNA (118 nucleotides) under Florenciella parvula. The record is from RNAcentral. Lineage: Eukaryota; Dictyochophyceae; Florenciellales.